CCAUCACAACAGAAAUGUAGAGGCAUAUUCAUUAACAAUCAUUCCAGAAACACAUCAAUAAUUGACAGGAUUUGAACAACCUAAAUGAAAUAUACAAAAUAAACACGUAGUAGAACACAACAUUGAUAGCUUGGAGUUGGUAACUGCAGCAAGCAUCACCCAAAUUAAGAAACAGGAAGAUGUCCUGAAUAGUCCACUUAAUAGAGCAAACCAAUCCACUAGAUUGAAUAUUCCAGAUGAUUAGCCCACUUAUAGAUCGCAUAGUAAAAUAACCAGUCAACCCAAAAGGAUAAGGCCAAACAGGUCAAUUAACAACCUCAACUUUCAAGUUAUGCACAGGCUCCCACUUUACAAGAGGUCUGGAAGGGUUGUCUAUUGUAAGAAGCCUUACCCUGCUGGCAGAGAGAGACUAUAUUUCCAUGACUUGAACCCAUAACCUUCCUUUAGCAAUGGAGCAAUCUUAACAUUGCACCAAGCUUGACCUCAAUAACCUCAACUUCUGUUUUUCCUAAACCACCACAUUUCAUCCAUAACCACUGUCAACAGCAUGCUACCAUAUCUUAAAAAUCAGUGUUGAACUGCCAUGAGAUAAAAAAGCAGGAGCACCAAAGCCUUCAUUUCAAUUGUAUUUUCAAGCAAAACAUUCCAAGUGUUGGGCAUCCAUGCAUUAGGAAUAUGGUCCAUCAAGUUACUGCUGCCUUGUCCAAUAUUGAAAUCCGUCAUCCCAAACCCACUUAUGAAAUAGGAUUAAAAUGCAUCAACAAGCCAUCCAUAAUUAAACCUCGUUUAAUGGAACAAGGAAACUCCCAAAUGAAAGAGGUUUCCAUCAUUAUUAAAUUAUCAAUAUCCUUACUCUCAAAAAAGCUUCCCCCAUUAAAUCCCUAAAAAAAUUUGAGAUGAUUAGACAAUAAGCAAGCCACUUUGCAACUGAAACCCAAACUAGAAGAAUCUCAACACGUCCAAUGCUAGUCCACUAUCAUGAGCUUAUGCCUGCGCCUGUUCUUGCUGAUAGUCAAAUGCAUAAACAAGCAUCUCUAGAGCAUUCUCAAAUUCUUCUCGUAUCACUUCUUAAGUAAACAGCAUCAAUCCAAGAAAGAUGAAUAAACAAAUAAAUAAAUAAUACAGCGACAGGAAAUUCAGGCAUGAAUGUUAGCAUCCUGGCCCGCUUAAUCUAAACUCUAAAUAGAAUCAGUCCAAAAACUACCAAUGUGUGGACAUAUAAAAAUUCCCAACAUACAGAACCAAUGAAGAAAUUUAAUUCAAUAGCUCACUAAAACUCAACAACAUGCAAGGCAUCAAAGUCCCAAUACAUAAACAGAUACUUAUACAUAUGCAUUACCACAAGAGUAUCA
Molecule: unclassified non-coding RNA, 1352 nt
Filed under: Hevea brasiliensis (rubber tree)
Lineage: Eukaryota; Viridiplantae; Streptophyta; Magnoliopsida; Malpighiales; Euphorbiaceae
Source: RNAcentral